AAUCAACGCUGGCGGCGUGCCUCAGACAUGCAAGUCGAACGAUUAAAGCUCUCUUCGGAGAGUGUAUAGAGUGGCGCACGGGUGAGUAGCACGUAAGUAAUCUGCCUUUGAGUGGGGAAUAACCCGGGGAAACCCGAGCUAAUACCGCAUAAUGCAGCGGCACCGCAAGGUGACAGUUGUUAGAGCGAGUAAUCGCGCUUAAAGAGGAGCUUGCGGCAGAUUAGCUAGUUGGUAAGGUAACGGCUUACCAAGGCUACGAUCUGUAUCCGGUCUAAGAGGACGGUCGGACACACUGACACUGAAUAACGGGUCAGACUCC
RNAcentral lists this ribosomal RNA (319 nucleotides) under uncultured bacterium. Its description in RNAcentral is "bacterial SSU rRNA". It matches the Rfam family "Bacterial small subunit ribosomal RNA", at positions 32 to 339 of the family's 1533-position model. The record is from RNAcentral.